AGUGAACGCUGGCGGUAGGCCUAACACAUGCAGGUCGAACGGCAGCACAGUAAGAGCUUGCUCUUACGGGUGGCGAGUGGCGGACGGGUGAGGAAUACAUCGGAAUCUACUUUUUCGUGGGGGAUAACGUAGGGAAACUUACGCUAAUACCGCAUACGACCUACAGGUGAAAGCAGGGGAUCUUCGGACCUUGCGCGAUUGAAUGAGCCGAUGUCGGAUUAGCUAGUUGGCGGGGUAAAGGCCCACCAAGGCGACGAUCCGUAGCUGGUCUGAGAGGAUGAUCAGCCACACUGGAACUGAGACACGGUCCAGACUCCUACGGGAGGCAGCAGUGGGGAAUAUUGGACAAUGGGCGCAAGCCUGAUCCAGCCAUACCGCGUGGGUGAAGAAGGCCUUCGGGUUGUAAAGCCCUUUUGUUGGGAAAGAAAAGCAGCAGGUUAAUACCCCGCUGUUCUGACGGUACCCAAAGAAUAAGCACCGGCUAACUUCGUG
Molecule: ribosomal RNA, 492 nt
Filed under: uncultured bacterium
Lineage: Bacteria
Description: partial 16S ribosomal RNA
Rfam family: Bacterial small subunit ribosomal RNA
Source: RNAcentral